RNAcentral lists this ribosomal RNA (502 nucleotides) under uncultured bacterium. RNAcentral describes it as "partial 16S ribosomal RNA". It matches the Rfam family "Bacterial small subunit ribosomal RNA", at positions 29 to 523 of the family's 1533-position model. The record is from RNAcentral.
AUUGAACGCUGGCGGAAUGCUUUACACAUGCAAGUCGAACGGCAGCACGGGUGCUUGCACCUGGUGGCGAGUGGCGAACGGGUGAGCAAUACAUCGGAACGUACCCAGUCGUGGGGGAUAACGUAGCGAAAGUUACGCUAAUACCGCAUACGUCCUGAGGGAGAAAGCGGGGGACCGUAAGGCCUCGCGCGAUUGGAGCGGCCGAUGGCGGAUUAGCUAGCUGGUGGGGUAAAGGCCUACCAAGGCGACGAUCCGUAGCGGGUCUGAGAGGACGGCCCGCCACACUGGAACUGAGACACGGUCCAGACUCCUACGGGAGGCAGCAGUGGGGAAUUUUGGACAAUGGGCGAAAGCCUGAUCCAGCCAUUCCGCGUGAGUGAAGAAGGCCUUCGGGUUGUAAAGCUCUUUCGGCAGGGAAGAAACGGCUUGGGAUAAUACCCCGGGCUAAUGACGGUACCUGAAGAAGAAGCACCGGCUAACUACGUGCCAGCAGCCGCCGUAA